Molecule: long non-coding RNA, 2840 nt
Organism: Oncorhynchus tshawytscha (Chinook salmon)
Lineage: Eukaryota; Metazoa; Chordata; Actinopteri; Salmoniformes; Salmonidae
Exons: 4
Source: RefSeq, a predicted model, not a curated record
CACGGCCGGACGUUGCAGAUUGAUGAUGCCGCAGCAGUCAAUGGAUCGCUGUGAGGUUUCAGAGAACUACCACCAUCAUAGCCCGGGGGUCCAGGGAGCCAGCGGCGCCUGGUCAGUGGACUCCUUCUCUGGGUCGGUCUCCUCACCGUCAGCCACGUGGUCUCCAUCACCCUACUCGUCAUCACCAGGCCACACGCACUGCCUCUGCCAGAAAUAGUUUCAGCUCCAAAACCCACAGCAGACUCAUCUCUGAGCAUACCCCUGGAGCCACAAAGAGUGCCAUGGCAAAUGCUCACCUUUGAACCCACAAGUAUAGAUGAUAAUGAUGUCUCGGUGGCGAGAAGUGGGAUCAAGUGGAAGACGCAGUCCAAGGCAAAUAAUUUUGUCUCCCUAAAGGGCGGAUCCCUGACCAUCAACCAAGAUGGUUGUUACUUACUGUAUCUUCAGGUGACUCUGGAGACACCAGAGGUGUCUGGACAGCACAUAGUGAGAGUGAACAAGCCCAACAGAGUCCUGCUGGAAGUAAGGAUGACCAACACCUCCCUCAGCACAGGGUUCCUGGGCAGGGCUGUGGAUCUAGCAGCCUCUGACACCCUCACAGUCACUGUCUCCCCUGGAGCCAGGAUCAACACCACCUACACCGCCACAUACCUGGGUAUCAUAGGUCCAAAAUUAUAUCUGUAGAUUCUAUAGGAUAUAGACACUCCUGUCUUCAUAGACACAUGCUGGGGGCUAGAUCUGGGAGUCAUUUGGUAGGGGUUGAUUGAAUAGAUCCUGGGGAUCUGGAGUUAACUGGGAUCAACCCAUCAUCCCACCACCUGUCAGAGAGAUGGAGUAGUGGGGAAGAUCAUGUGGGAGACACCGUGUAUUUGACUGAAACUGAUUCAGUCCGACUCCCUGCUCAUCACAGAAGAUUAUUCCACUCCUUUAUACUCUACCUAGCCUUCCAACUGAUUUUGAGCUGCAAGGAUUUUAUUUCCAGAAUUCUACAGAUUUUUUAAUUUGAUUUUUAUUUAACCUAUAUUUAACUCGGCAAGUCAGUUAAGAACAAAUUCUUAUUUUUUUUUGGUUGGCCCUUCUCAAUGAGGGCCAACCAAAAUGCAAAAGGCCUCCUGCAGGGAAGGGGGUUUAAAAAUGUAAUAUAAUAAUGCGUCUUGUAAUGUUGGAAAAAUAUGUUUAAAAGUAUUGGUCAUCAUGGGUUAUGGGUUGUACUGUUACUUUAGCAUGUUUCUCUCUUGGAUGAAGUAGCACUGUUUUUAUCGCUCAGGAUUAUAGUUAGUAUGUUUUUCCAGUAAAUAUAUUUUUUUUAAGCUAUGAAUGAAGGGAUUGUCUUAUCAAGUCAUGUGCACAGGGUUGUUGAGAGAAGGCACAGUAUCAACAUAUCUUUAAAGAUUACUUUAAUAUUUGCGUAUUGCUUUGUAUUUAAAAUAUUAUUUUUUAAAUAUAUUUAUGUCUUAUUACAAUAUUAUCUUAUUAUUAUUUUCUUCUUAUUUAUUUUCUAUAUCUAUUUUGAAGGACAUGUUGAGUAUGUUGUAGGAUGAGAUGUAGAGAUAAACAAUGAAUGUAUGUCACUAACCAGGUUUCCAUUCAAUCGUUUUAUACGAGUAAAGUACGUCAGGUAAAACAUUUAAUGACAGGACUGAUGGAAACAGAAAAUGUUUCGGUAAACCUUCCAAAUGUAGACAAAACAAAGUACGCUAUACAAGGUGGGAUCUUUUUGUGUCGGUAAAAUUAGUUAUGCGAGAAAUGGCAGUGGAAACACCUUUAUGCGCAAAUAUUGAUGUAAUAACCAUUAUAUCGAAGUAAACUUGGAGUCACGCCAUGAUAAAUGGUGUGGUUCUCCCACUACGACUCGGGAAAGCAUGCAGUUCAUUAGGCUACAGAUUAAAUACAUUAUGAUGAACUUCACAGGGUGGUGAAUGUGCAUGGUGAUGCUCCUUUCCAAUAAAUAUCGAGGGUCUUCUUCUGGUGACAUGAUGAUCGAUUCUUGGCUGCCUUUUGACAAAUACAAAUAAUAUUGCUCUUAUCCAAUAACCGCAUAAUGUUGGUAGCCUACCGCACUGUAUCUGCGAGCUGUUGGCUAGAGCGCAUGUUCCAAGAUCAGAGUGCACAUUUCCUACUCCAUCAAUAGAGUUGAAAAUGCGAUGGAAACCCAUUUUCCAUUCGGUAGGCUACAUGGGAAUUUAACGGCAGAAGUUAUUUUUUAUCUGCACUACGUCCUCAAGCACAGCCUUUUACCCAUAGAAAAAAGUAUGUUUGAUGGAAACAUCCCUGGCGGGGGAAUGCACAUAUCGUUUUAGCAGAUUUUAGAAUAUUAGCAUGAAAAUCUAUAGCAAAUUGGAUGGAAACCGACUUUAUAGCGCCAAAUAAACAAGAAAAAAAGGUACGUUGUUACGAAUUCCACAACUGAACUUCCGCUGGGAAACAGGAAUGCAAUCUAUUAUAUUAAGAAAGCACUGGAUUUUUUUUUCUCCAAACAAAUAAAUGAAGUACAGUAUUUGACUUGUAUAUGGCUUUUAUUUCACCUUCAACUAUUGUUUGUCGAAGCCAAAAUUACAGAAAUGUGGACUAAUUCAUGACAUGUUGUGAAAUUAUAUGAAAAUAAAGCACAAAUAGAUUUAAGUCUAAUUGUGUCAUGCCAACGCUGUGGGGGGUGAGAGCUAUUAUAAACAGAUGUGAAACCACCAGAUGUGAAUCAUUACCAACACAGUGAAAUAAGGGUCAAAUCGAACUACAUAUGUAGGAUCAUGAUUUGAUCCCCCUUUGCAGAAUAACUUGUAGUGUAUUUGAGGUUUAAAAAGGCUUCUAAAGUUUGUCAUUUCUACACUGAAAUUUCAGAC